Alligator sinensis (Chinese alligator) is the source of this 1244-nucleotide RNA transcript. It is a transcript of the gene named cyclin dependent kinase inhibitor 1B, with no coding region annotated. The record is from RefSeq and is a predicted model, not a curated record. The transcript is spliced from 4 exons. NCBI's taxonomy places the organism in Eukaryota, Metazoa, Chordata, Crocodylia, Alligatoridae.
CGCGAAGCAAAAGCUUUACAAACUGCACGAGGGAGAGCCCAGGAGGAGGAGGAGGAGGCAGAGAGACACACUAUGAAGAGGGGCAGCGGGAGGGAGAGGUCUGGCCAUUCCUCCUCCCCAGCCACUGGCAGGCAGCAGUGACUGAUUGCAGCUGGAUGGAGAGAAAGACAAGCUCCUGGAUGCCAUCAGAAACCUGACGGGACAUCUGAAAGCAACAAGUGCCUUCUUCCUCCUCCUCCCCCUCCUCACCUGGACACCAGCCCCCGAAGCCAGAGCCAGGGAAGCCAAGAGCAGAGGCCAGCAGGGAUGGAAUCGCUGAUCUUUAAGCUCAUCGGAGAGCAGCAGAAGGGCAAAAAGAUGAUGGUGUGGAGACCAGUGAAGACAAACUGUGUGCGAAGGAACCUCUUUGGUCCUGUGGACCACGAGCAGCUGCAGAAGGACUUCCAGCAGCUACUGCGCAGCGGUGUAGAGGGAGCCAAGCAGAAGUGGAACUUUGACUUCCUACGAGAAAUACCAGCUGAGGGGCUCCUGCAAUGGGAAGAGCUACAGGGCCAUGAGGUCCCAGCCUUUUACCACAGCUGUGUGGUAGGAGAGGCUCGCAAGCCCUUGCAGCUCUUGAACCGGCCCAUGGGCAAGGAAGCCAGGGCUCACCAGUUUGCCAAGGUGACACUGACUGAGAAAUCCAAAGCUCCCAAGAAAAUUGUAGGCAAGAGCCCAGAAGUGAAGAAACAAAGACAGGCUUCCGUCACAGUUUUAGAGCUGCCCACAGAUAAUCAGGUGCUGUCUUCCCAAAAAUGAAGUAUGAGGAACAACAGAAUCAGAAGAGGGUAGAGCAGGAACCAGAAGGAAGAAGCCAUUGUAGAUAUGAAUAUUAUUUUGUAUAUGGUCUUCAGCAAAAGCCUCUAGAGAUUUUUUUAAGAGACAGAUCAGUCUGAAAUUUGGCCAGAUGGCAGAAAGGGCCAAUUUUUCAGAUUACUACUCAGCGAAGAAGAGAGUCAAAACUAACACAAAAGCUGCUUCAGAAAAUGUGGCUUUCUGAAAGGGAACACAGGGUUAAUCUGCACCAGAGAUGUUUCAAAAAGCUGGCAAAUACAUUUGACGGUCAGAAAAUGUGCGUGCAAGCUAUGAACACUUACAGCAUCACAGAGAGAGACAUUCAUGGAAGCAGCAAUGGCAAGUCUUACAAGCACAACAAAAACAGCAUCAGGAUGAUGUCAGGCCAAAUAAACUGGAAUCCCUUUUAA